This 603-nucleotide long non-coding RNA is filed under the name Oryza brachyantha (malo sina). RNAcentral's name for it is "long non-coding RNA (OBRA_LNC001444)". The record is from RNAcentral. Lineage: Eukaryota; Viridiplantae; Streptophyta; Magnoliopsida; Poales; Poaceae.
UGGGGGAGCCGCCAAUGAGGAGAGGGGAGGGUGGCCGCGUCGUGCUCGUGCUGCCUGUGCCGUCGUGUUAGUAGUGGACGAGCGGGGGAGUGCGGCGUGCAGAGUUGUUCUCGCCGCGCGAGAGGAAGCAGAAGCAAAAGCUUGCGAGAAGAGGGUGGGGAGAGGGAGCGAAUUGAUUAGUGUCGCCACUUCUUCUCCACCUCCGUCCUCGCCAAUCCACCAUCAUUGCGCCACCGCCGCAAGAUCUGUGAAGCUCUCUCCUCUCUCUUCUAUCUUCUCUCUCUCCCGCACGGGCGCACGACGCUAGCUGGGAGCCCGUAGGAGAAGCUUCUUUUCUUCCCGCGCGCGCGGCGGCUGGCUGGCUGGCUGGCUUCGCGGCAAAGGCUUGUUGCGGUUGUUCGGUACAGGAAGAGUGUGAGCGAGGCGGCGGUACGGUGCCGCACCCACCACCUCCUCCACCCCCUCCAUUAAAGGCGCUCACGCACCGCCCUCCAGCUUCUUCCUCCACGAGAAAGCGAGCUGAGGGAGGGAGGGAGAGAGAGAGUGCGAGUGAGUCAGUGUGAGCAACACUUCCUCCCCUCACGGGAGCAGCAGCAGCAGCAG